This 951-nucleotide long non-coding RNA is filed under the name Gallus gallus (chicken). RNAcentral describes it as "lncRNA (ENSGALG00010005066.1)". Lineage: Eukaryota; Metazoa; Chordata; Aves; Galliformes; Phasianidae. The record is from RNAcentral.
GUGUCCCCAGGGCACUUUGUUCUGUGGAGCGGGUAUGGGGCGGGAGGUUGGGACGAGUUGGGAACACCGCAGGUUUCGUGGUGGUGAAGUCUGCAGUGGGAGCAGAGCUCCUGAAGGAGUUGCUUCAGUGGCCUGGGACUGCUGGGAAGGUCCUCUAUAGUGGCAGAGGAAAGCAGGGAAGGGGAGAAGAGCCCCACUAAGAGUAACAGAAGUGAUCUCCAUGUUGUGAUGAAGGACUGUAAUUCAUCUCCUCCAUGCAUUUAUAAGUUGCUCAUUUCUUCAACGUUAUUUUUUGUCUAAUCAAUGCAGUGAAAAGCAGAGCUCUGAAACAUUGACUGUAUCUGUUGUGGAAACAGUGAUUCAAGGGCAGCAAAGGGAAAACUGGACAUCACUGAAGAAGACAGAUGAGAUAUUUAGGUCUGGAAUAAAAAAUGCAUGUUUUGGAUAUAACAGUAAUGCUUUCACCAACUGCUUUCCCCUCCCUCAUGAAUUUAGGCAAGUCAAUGACGUCUAUGCUUGCUUAAUUAUAAAGCUUCAUUAUUUCCUAUACCACGAAGUCUGCUUUUUGUUUUUAUAGAGGCUUGGCAUAAUCUUUUUUUAUAAAUGCCAAGAACAAUUCCAGUUAGCUUGUGGGUAAUAGUGAUCAAUUGUAGCAGAAAGAAGUCUGAAGUCACAUAGCUUUGACUUGUGCAUAGCUCUGCUGAGUCGUCUGAUGCCUCUUUCCUGAUGAGCAACAAUCUACCAAACUGUCUCUAACUGACCAUGAGGAGAACAUCCAAUUAUCCUGCACCAUCAGAGGUAUGAUGUAUGCGUGUGUAUAUAUAAACCACAUUUUGUAGUCUGGAGACACAGAGGGCAUAUAUCAUCAGACUAUUUUUUACCCUUUUCAGUACUGGCUGGCAUUUUCUGAAUGGAAAGUUUAAAAUGCACAUUCUUCCAAGCAGGACAACC